RNAcentral lists this non-coding RNA (30 nucleotides) under Rattus norvegicus (Norway rat). Lineage: Eukaryota; Metazoa; Chordata; Mammalia; Rodentia; Muridae. The record is from RNAcentral.
UCCCGGUACUAUUUUUCCUCAAGUGCAGAG